GGGGCUGUAGCUCAGCGGGAGAGCGCCUCCUUUGCACGGAGGAAGUCGUGGGUUCAAAUCCCACCAGCUCCA
RNAcentral lists this transfer RNA (72 nucleotides) under Chloroflexota bacterium. RNAcentral's name for it is "Chloroflexi bacterium tRNA-Ala". It matches the Rfam family "tRNA". From Rfam's summary of the family: Transfer RNA (tRNA) molecules are approximately 80 nucleotides in length. Their secondary structure includes four short double-helical elements and three loops (D, anti-codon, and T loops). The record is from RNAcentral. RNAcentral also lists the same sequence under 1 other name. Lineage: Bacteria; Bacillati; Chloroflexota.